GACGAACGCUGGCGGCGUGCUUAACACAUGCAAGUCGAACGAUGAAGCCUAGCUUGCUAGGUGGAUUAGUGGCGAACGGGUGAGUAAUACGUGAGUAACCUACCUUUAACUCUGGGAUAAGCCUGGGAAACUGGGUCUAAUACCGGAUACGACCAAUCUCCGCAUGGGGUGUUGGUGGAAAGCGUUAUGUAGUGGUUAUAGAUGGGCUCACGGCCUAUCAGCUUGUUGGUGAGGUAACGGCUCACCAAGGCGACGACGGGUAGCCGGCCUGAGAGGGUGACCGGCCACACUGGGACUGAGACACGGCCCAGACUCCUACGGGAGGCAGCAGUGGGGAAUAUUGCACAAUGGGCGCAAGCCUGAUGCAGCGACGCCGCGUGAGGGAUGACGGCCUUCGGGUUGUAAACCUCUGUUAGCAGGGAAGAAGAGAAAUUGACGGUACCUGCAGAGAAAGCGCCGGCUAACUACGUGCCAGCAGCCGCGGUAAUACGUAGGGCGCGAGCGUUGUCCGGAAUUAUUGGGGCGUAAAGAGCUUGUAGGCGGUUUGUCGCGUCUGCUGUGAAAGGCCGGGGCUUAACCCCGUGUAUUGCAGUGGGUACGGGCAGACUAGAGUGCAGUAGGGGGAGACUGGAACUCCUGGUGUAGCGGUGGAAUGCGCAGAUAUCACGAAGAACACCGAUGGCGAAAGGCAGGUCUCUGGGCUGUUACUGACUCUGAAAAGCGAAAGCAAGGGGGAGCCGACAGCG
This 746-nucleotide ribosomal RNA is filed under the name Rothia mucilaginosa. Its description in RNAcentral is "bacterial SSU rRNA". It matches the Rfam family "Bacterial small subunit ribosomal RNA", at positions 28 to 777 of the family's 1533-position model. The record is from RNAcentral. Lineage: Bacteria; Bacillati; Actinomycetota; Actinomycetes; Micrococcales; Micrococcaceae.